This is a non-coding RNA of Pteropus alecto (black flying fox), 74 nucleotides long. The record is from Rfam. NCBI's taxonomy places the organism in Eukaryota, Metazoa, Chordata, Mammalia, Chiroptera, Pteropodidae.
GGCUCCAUAGUGUAGUGGUUAGCACAUCUGCUUUACACGCAGAAAGUCCUGGGUUUGAGCCCCAGGUGGAGCCA